GUGUAUUCGUGUUCGGUGGAUACCUUCAAGCUGGGGGAUGGGCAAUACUGUGUUGUAUUUCACCAGUAUUGCACACCCACUGGCCUGAAAGUGCCUACUGCUGGGUUCAAC
RNAcentral lists this microRNA precursor (111 nucleotides) under Drosophila pseudoobscura. Its description in RNAcentral is "microRNA dps-mir-311 precursor". Its record names the gene dps-mir-311. The stretch from base 20 to 94 matches the Rfam family "mir-310 microRNA precursor family". The record is from miRBase by way of RNAcentral. Lineage: Eukaryota; Metazoa; Arthropoda; Insecta; Diptera; Drosophilidae.